This 910-nucleotide ribosomal RNA is filed under the name termite gut metagenome. Its description in RNAcentral is "bacterial SSU rRNA". It matches the Rfam family "Bacterial small subunit ribosomal RNA", at positions 575 to 1520 of the family's 1533-position model. The record is from RNAcentral.
GUGGUCGUUUAAGUAGACAGUGAAAUCUGGUGGCUCAACCAUUCAGACUAUUGCCUAAACUGGACGACUCGAGAGUAUCAGAGGUAGCUGGAAUUUCUUGUGUAGGGAUAAAAUCCGUAGAUAUAAGAAAGAACACCGAUGGCGUAGGCAGGCUACUGGGAUAUUUCUGACACUAAGGCACGAAAGCGUAGGGAGCAAACGGGAUUAGAUACCCCGGUAGUCUACGCUAUGGAUACUAGAAGUUUGGGGUAUCGACCCCCUGAGUUUCGAAGCUAACGCGUUAAGUAUCCCACCUGUGUAGUACGGCCGCAAGGCUAAAACAUAAAGGAAUUGACGGGGACCCGCACAAGCGGUGGAGCGUGAUCUUUAAUUCGACGCUAAACGUUAAACCUUACCAAGGUUUGACAUCUAGGGAAGGCUCUCGAAAGAGAACUGUGCCUUCGGGAACCCUAAGACAGGUGAUGCAUGGCCGUCGUCAGCUCGUGUCGUGAGAUGUUAGGUUAAGUCCUUCAACGAGCGCAACCCUUGUCAGUAGUUGUAUUUUUCUACUGAAACUGCCCCGGUAACGGGGAGGAAGGAGGGGAUGAUGUCAGGUCAGUAUUUCCCUUACACCCUGGGCAAGAAUCGCGCUACAAUGGCCGGUACAAUGCGAAGCGAAGCAGUAAUGUGAAGCAAAUCGCAUCAAAGCCGGUCCCAGUUCGGAUAGGAGGCUGAAACUCGCCUCCUUGAAGUCGGAAUCGCUAGUAAUCGCAGAUCAGCAUGUUGCGGUGAAUACGUUCCCGGGUCUUGUACACACCGCCCGUCAAACCAUGAGAGUCGUGGGCACCCGAAGUUCGAUUCGUCGACCUAAGGUGAACAAGAUGAUUGGGGUUAAGUCGUAACAAGGCAUCGGUACCGGAAGGUGUCGAUG